Molecule: ribosomal RNA, 478 nt
Filed under: uncultured bacterium
Lineage: Bacteria
Description: partial 16S ribosomal RNA
Rfam family: Bacterial small subunit ribosomal RNA
Source: RNAcentral
GAUGAACGCUGGCGGCGUGCUUAACACAUGCAAGUCGAACGAGAAAUGGAGACGGAAACCUUCGGGCAGAAGGCUUCAUUUCGAGUGGCGGACGGGUGAGUAACGCGUGGGUAACCUGCCUCAUACAGGGGGAUAACAGUUGGAAACGACUGUUAAUACCGCAUAAGACCACAGCACCGCAUGGUGCGGGGGUAAAAACUCCGGUGGUAUGAGAUGGACCCGCGUUCGAUUAGCCAGUUGGCGGGGUAACGGCCCACCAAAGCGACGAUCGAUAGCCGAUCUGAGAGGAUGACCGGCCACAUUGGGACUGAGACACGGCCCAAACUCCUACGGGAGGCAGCAGUGGGGAAUAUUGCACAAUGGGGGAAACCCUGAUGCAGCGACGCCGCGUGAGUGAAGAAGUACUUCGGUAUGUAAAGCUCUAUCAGCAGGGAAGAAAAUGACGGUACCUGAGUAAGAAGCCCCGGCUAACUACGUG